UACGUAGGUGGCAAGCGUUGUCCGGAUUUACUGGGUGUAAAGGGCGUGUAGCCGGGCUGACAAGUCAGAUGUGAAGUCCGGGGGCUCAACCCCCGAACUGCAUUUGAAACUGUUGGUCUUGAGUAUCGGAGAGGCAGGCGGAAUUCCUAGUGUAGCGGUGAAAUGCGUAGAUAUUAGGAGGAACACCAGUGGCGAAGGCGGCCUGCUGGACGACAACUGACGGUGAGGCGCGAAAGCGUGGGGAGCAAACAGG
Molecule: ribosomal RNA, 253 nt
Filed under: uncultured bacterium
Lineage: Bacteria
Description: partial 16S ribosomal RNA
Rfam family: Bacterial small subunit ribosomal RNA
Source: RNAcentral